RNAcentral lists this unclassified non-coding RNA (345 nucleotides) under soil metagenome. RNAcentral's name for it is "partial contains 5.8S ribosomal RNA, internal transcribed spacer 2, and large subunit ribosomal RNA". The stretch from base 1 to 119 matches the Rfam family "5.8S ribosomal RNA", at positions 35 to 154 of the family's 154-position model. The record is from RNAcentral.
GAUGAAGAACGUAGCGAAAUGCGAUACGUAAUGUGAAUUGCAAAUUCAGUGAAUCAUCGAGUCUUUGAACGCACAUUGCGCCCCCUGGUAUUCCGGGGGGCAUGCCUGUCCGAGCGUCAUUGCUGCCCUCAAGCACGGCUUGUGUGUUGGGCCCCGUCCUCCGAUCCCGGGGGACGGGCCCGAAAGGCAGCGGCGGCACCGCGUCCGGUCCUCGAGCGUAUGGGGCUUUGUCACCCGCUCUGUAGGCCCGGCCGGCGCUUGCCGAUCAACCCAAAUUUUUAUCCAGGUUGACCUCGGAUCAGGUAGGGAUACCCGCUGAACUUAAGCAUAUAAAUAAGCGGAGGA